NNGAGGAUAAGCCGGAGGGCGGCGCGUGCGCGGGCGUGAAGGAGGACCUGGGCGCAUGUCUGCUGCAGUCGGACUGUGUGCUCCAGGUAGCGCAGCCGGGCGCUCGGGGUGAUGAGACGCUGGAACCGGAGAGGCAGGGCCCGGCCAAGGUUUCCCGGUCAGCCUGCGGUGGUGGUCAGGAGACGGGACCCAGAGUUAGAAGUCGUAGGUGUAGAUCACAGCUCCAGUUUAAUGAACCUGGGCACAUCCGCUGUCGGAGCUUCAGCUCCCUCCGGUGUUAAAUUGGAGAUAAGAAAACCACCUCUUUGGAUUUUUGUAAAGAUAAACGAUUUCGGUUCAAGAAACAUGUAUUAGAUGCUGCCUGCCACUGCUAGCUUCAGGAGAUAUAAAGGAGAAUGAGACAGGUUUCUUGCGUAUUAGGAAAUGAGACUCUAAAUUAACAGAGAAUUACAUAAACCUGGUACACUGUAUUGACUAGCAGUUUCUCCUUUCUCUGUUACGUUAUGGCUGAAUAUAUGUUAUAUUUACUUUCUCUUGGUUUGGGUUUGUUUCUGAAUUGGAGUUCGAUACGUUCUUGGAUAAGUUGUAAACGAAGCAGCUCCAUUUUCCCACUAUUCUGUAUCUUGCUUCCACUACAUUCCCCUCACUACAGCCACGUCUUCUCAAUCUUAGUGUAGUGAGGCAAGCAGUGAGGUCCAAAGUUAACUGGGGACCUGGGUAAUUUGCUCUUAUUUCAAAGGAAAGACAACUGCCCCCAAAUGGAUAUCCAUCAUAAAGCUGUUAUCAGUAUUUCUACUGAUUCAUGAUUUACAUUUGGUUCACUGAUUUUAGCAGUCAGUGAGACUGGUCACUCCGGUGUGUCGUAAAGCUUGAGUUGUUGUGAAUUUAAGAGGUUCUCUAGUCCAGCUCUCUUACACAGAUGAGGAAACUGAGGUGCCCUGUCCAGGGCUGUUUCCAAUCUGCUGCUUCAUUGGUGCAGAUAUUCAGCCAGCUCUUAGUAAACGCCUGGUAAGUGGCAGGCAUGAUGCCAUGCACUGGUGACACAAAGAUGAAUUGUUUCAGUCACUACCUUAAAUGAGUUUAGUCGGAUGGGAAGAACAGACAUGUAAGGAGCUAAAUUCCUGUAAUAAGGGCUGUGUAAGCAUUUAGUUAAUAUUUGUUUAAUGAUGAGAUUUGGAAACAAAAUGCUACAGGAGUCCAAUGAAGAGCAACUUAUUCUUGAGAAUUUGGAAACUUCUCACAGAAAAGGUGACAUUUGAUCUGAGUCUUAAAGUUGGAGUAGUAGAUUAUCAAGUAAAAGAGUCGGGAAUGUGGUGGUUGAGGAAAGAAGCUGAAAGAACAGCAUGGGCAAGUCAGAGAGAUGUGACCAAGAGAAGCUAGUGCCCUCUUAGGCCUGGGUGAUAGGGAAUGUGACAGAAAGCUUGAGAGGAAGACUGUCGUGUGAAAGCCCUUGUAUGUCAGAGUGAGGGCCCUAGAUUUUCUCCUGACCCUCAGCAUCAGAAGGCCAUAGAGAUGAGCAAUCAAGGGAAUAAAGUACACGAUGGGACUGAGAAAAGAAACUGUAGAGGAGGAAACUGAAGGCAAGGAGGAUACCAAGUUGCUUUUUUGCAAUAAUCCAUUUAUUUAGUCAGCAUUUGAGUGCCAAGCUCUAAUUCAGAGGAUAUACAGAUGAUUGGGAUACAUUCCCUCCUGUGUAGAAAUUAGAUCUCUGGAAAACUGGGCAGAGAUAAUGGCCAGGACACAUGGCACAGACUUUGCUUUCCCCAGCUGAAUAUGUGGCUCUAUUGAUGCUGGUCAAUUAAGAGAACAUGAUGUUUGUAAAAAAGUACUUUAAAUGGGAAUGUGUGUACAGUUUAUGUUAAAUUCAUCCUGACUUCAAGAGGAGUGUAAAAGGGCAGUAUUGAGGCAAAACAUUGAGGUCUGUAGAUAAGAGGACAAUAUCCUACCUUUUCAGAUAGUAUCAUUGGCAGCUACAGCCUACCAUGCCCCUCCUAGGGACUCUGAAGACCAAGGGACAUUCUGCUGAGGUCUGUGUCUGCCCUGAAUGACCUCAUUUAUGAUAAAAUUUAGCUCCUUGUAUAAAGUUAAUCUGAUCUUCUGGCAGAUGGAUGCUGUAGUCUUCCUUGCCAAUCUUUAACCCACUGGAAAAGCUGCUGGACCUGACUCUUAGGAGGAAUUCAAAAUAAAUAUUUAGUGCUACAAUGGGAAAUAGUCAAGGAACUAUAGGGUUUGAGAGAAGCUCAGGGUAAUGGGGGUGAGGAUGUCAACCCCUGUGGGGCUGGAAAGGAGAAGCAAGGAAAAAGCAGAUUCAAAAGGCAGCUCUUGGAUAGACUUCUUAGGAUUUUAUGACUCCUGGGGGAUCAAAAAGGUUGAAACUAUGCUCAAGAAACCUGAAUCACAGGUUAUCUCCUGUGUGUCUCCAUUAACAAGCUCUCAGACCUGCUGACUUAAUCAGAAUUACCUGGAGAUGGGGCAGAGAGCUUAAAAGUAUAGAUCCCACUGCUCCUCCUACCCCUAUAAAAGUAUCCCACGUUGAUUCUUGGGCACAGCCAUGUUUGGGAAUCACUGAUCUUUUAGUUUUUUUUUUUUAACAUUUAUUCAUUUUUUGAGAGACAGAGUGUGAGUGGGGGAGGGGCAGAGAAAGAGGGAGACACAGAAUCUGAAGCUGGCACCAGGCUCUGAGCUGUCAGCACAGAGCCCAAUGCGGGGCUUGAACCCACGGACUGUGAGAUCAUGACCCGAGCCGAAGUCAGUCACUUAACCGACUGAGCCACCCAGGCGCCCCAGGAAUCACUGAUCUUGCCCUCAGAAGGUAAAUAAACUUGGGAGUGUAUUAGUUAGGAUAUAGGUUCGGGUAGAUGGUACAGAUAUCCAAAAUAACAUUGGCUUGAACAAGAUAGGAAAUUCUCUUUGGGGUGCCUGGGUGGCUCAGUCAGUUAAGCGUCCGACUUCUGCUCAGGUCAUGAUCUCUCGAUUUGUGAGUUCAAGCCCCGCGUCAGGCUCUGUGCUGACAGCUCAGAGCCUGAAGCCUGCUUCAGAUUCUGUGUCUCCCCGUCUCUCAGCCCCUCCCAUCCUUACGCUCUGUCUCUCAAUAAUAAAUAAACGUUAAAAAUUAAAAAAAAAAAAAAAAAGAUAGAAAAUUCUCUUUUGCUCUUUGUGUGUGCCUGUAAAUAGGUCCUGGACAGCUCCCCUCAGCCUUCCAUAGACCCAGACACUGUUGAUCUUGUGGUUUUAGGUGCUGUGAUGGGAGACAGGAUGUUAUUCUCACACGCGUGGUCCAAGAUUGCCUUCCUUCCAUAUCAUCAGGCCAUGACGUGAUGAUGUGAAGUGAUAAGAGGGGGCAAGUCACUUGCCUUUAAGGACCAAUGCAGAAGAUUUACAUUUCAGUUCCUCACAUAUUCUAGUGGCUAGAACUUAGUCAUAUGACCACACCCAGUUGCAAGGGUGGCUGGGAAAUCUAGCGCAGCCAUAUGCCUCACAAGAAAGGAAGAGUUAAAUGUUAAGGGACAACUGGCAGUCUGCCAUUUGGUGUAGAGGUGAAGGAGGAUGAAUUAACCUGUCUCUAUCUCUCUCAGAAUAAGAUGGAUCUUUCCAUUAGGCAGUUGGCAGUCUGGCAUGAAAGCUUAUGAAAAAGAUACCGUUUGGGGAAGCAUCAGUUUAGAGUUCUAGUCUUUGGUAUAGUUUUAUUUAUUCUUCUGUUUGCUGUCACAUCAUUCACAUGGGCAACAAACAUCCCAUCGGCAACAUCUUAUUACAGAGUUUUAGGGUGGAACACAGUGCACGGAAGCUUGCUACUCUGUUCUGAUUCACUUUUGUGAUUCACUGAUACAGAUGACAAUUAAAAUCUAGAACCUAAGCAGGCAGACAGACUAGAAAGUGGCAAGAUUCCCAAGAAUUGGGAAUGCCACAGAUAUGGUACCCUGUAGCAUUUUUCACAGUAAAAACAAGAAGGGCGACAUGGCACUUGCAAAAUAAAGGUUUGGAGGAGUGGUUGCAGUGGUAGGGUUGAGGUACCAAAAUCUGCUUGAAGGUAAACCCUGGAUGAUGAAGAGUUGGUGAAAUUGGGGUUACAUUUUCCCCAGUGCAUGAAUGCACCAGAUGUUUCUAUUUAAGUAGUAAGUAUUCUAAGUUCUUUAUUAACAUUCUAAGCGUUCAGUACCACACUAACAAUGUUCUGAUUUUAGGGCACCUAAUUCUGGCUGUUUGAGCUUUUAAAAUUAACACUGAGCCAGGGUCAUUUUAUUCUCAGACAAAAUUGCUUGACCCAUUUUACACUGGAACUCACCUUGAGUAGGAAGGUUUCAUCAUUUUCCUUUAUAUUGCCAAGCACUGCAUGAGGCUAAUGUUUAUAAGCAGUGUAUGUUUUAUUUCUUUAAUAGGUAAUCAUAAUGUUAAGGUUUUGAUUUUUUUUCUUCACAAAUUGUGUAUCACAGUUUGAUGUAAUUAAAGCUCAGGUAAUUCAGAAAAUUUAAGUCCUGUCAACUUUUUCCAGAUGUUGUUUUAUAUAUUUACAUUCCUGGGAAACAGAACCCCUUUAGCACCUCUCCCUGUUACCCUCUGGCACUUCUCUAUGUGACACGCCACUCUGCCGGUUGGCAUUUGUACAUGUAUACCUUCUUUGCUACCUGGUUGUAAAAGCCCUGUCUGAGCAGGAAUAUCUAACAUUUUUUAACCUCCCACUGAACUGAUCUGGGGCCAUUCUGAAUAUUUUUUAAAGUAAAUUAGUUGUGAGGGCUUAGUUAAUAGACAAAUUAGUAAGAUAGGGCAUCCAAAAAGAGAAAUUUUGCUGCAAUUAAAUUUUAAUCUUGCCUCUUUGAAUUGUGAAGUAUAUAUAUUUUUAAAUGUCCAUUUAUCAAUUUUGACAGAGAAAGGCUGAGCAGGGGCUUGGCAGAGAAAGAGGGAGAGAGAACCCCAAGCAGGCCCCAUGCUGCCAGUGCAGAGCCCAAUGCCAGACUCAAUCCUAUGACCCAUGAGAUCGUGACCUGAGCUGAAAUCAAGAGUCAGACGCUUAACCUCCUAAGGCACCCAGGCGCCCCUGAAUUCUGAAGCACAUUAUUGAUGUUCUCUGUGUCCAGCAUAUUUAAAUGCCUUUGUGUUAAGUUAAACAUGUCUUUGUUAAAAAAUAUUUUAAGAUUAUGAAGAGGUAUUAAAAUUUUUGUUCCAUGUUUACCUUGAAAAACCCAUACUAAAUUCUAGCUCUCACCUAGUUUUGCAGAUGUAAUUUUGUCAAGUCUGAUUUUUAAUGCUUAUAGUUUAAAAAAUCUUAUUUAAGAAUCAAAAAUAAGUUUCUCCUGUGAGCAUUCUUAUAGGUGCUUCUUACCUUGGCAGGAAGGGAAUGGUUUAGUCCAGUUUGCUUCUUAGCCUUCUUUUAGCUUUCACUGCUUAAAGUUGGGUUCAUUUCACACCAGGCCCAGGCAGAUCUUUUCUCACAAAUAUGUCUCAAUUCUGUUAACAUCUCCCCUUCCUCUUCCGGUUCUAUGUGGUUGUGCUUCUGAAAUUAGAGAAUUUGACCGUUGGGUGGGGGGCAGGGAUGUGUUGGAGGUAAUCGUGCUUGCACUAAAAGGAUAUAUACCUGGAGGCUUUAAAGCCACUUGAUAGGUCUUUCCAGAACAAACCCAUUUCCCACUACAGCCGGCCUGAUCAAUUGUAUGUACAUGCAUGUGUACAUGUAUGCAUGUCCACUCAUCUAUCUUGAUGAGUUCUGGAGUGUAAAAAUUUUAGAAACACUGAAGGAAAAAAAAAUCAUUACUUUCACCUUUACUCUCUUACCCAUAAGGAGCUAAUAAUACUAGUUGCGAGAUAUAUAAAAAUUUGAAAGAAAAGUAUCUUAUGGACACUAGUAUUUUCAAGAACUCAAGGGCACCCUAAAAAGUGCUCCAAAAUUAUUUGAUACAUUUUUUAUUCUAUCCUGUUCUCCCUAAACAUCAGCAGUCAAAAUGAAUCACAAAAUAUUUUGUCAUAUAAUUUACUACUUUUUUUCUUUAACUUUAAAAAAAAGCACUACUUUCAAAACGAUAGUUAUUUUGUACUUUGUGAGGAAAUUCUCCAGGUAUUUAUAUUGUUUUCUGUGUCCUAGGAAGGAAAAUCCCCUCGACAGUGUCUGAAGGAAGGAAACUGCAAAGCUUUGAAAUACUCAUUUUUUGAAUGUAAAAGAUCAAUGGUAAGAGGCUAUAUAGCUUUUGCAAAGCUUAUGCUAAAAAUUUUAGGUAUGCUAAAAAUUAAGUAUGUGAAUGACCUAGCAAUUACAUAUAUGUUGCAAGUGAGAUCAUUCAGAAAAAAGAAUGUGGAUAAUAUUAUUUAUUACUUCUACUUUGACACUAGAAAGCGCCAUCUAGGGAACUCCUGAGUGGACUAAUAGAUUCGUACAGCCUUUGUCCAAGAGUGAUUCACUAUUAGUGCUCUAAGAUGCCAAUUUGCCUUAUAUACUGACUUUAAAACCCUCUACGUACCCCACCACCCUUGGAAGAGGCUGCACUGUGAGCUUUAAGUCAAAGAACAUGUAGUCAUCCUAUGAGUAGAUACUUUAAACAUUUUUAAUCCCUAAAUGUUAGGUGUGAUUUACUGUUUAAAGAUUUCAAAUACAUUUCAAUGUUCAUUUUGAGUUUAUUUUUAAAUUUUUUUUAACGUUUAUUCAUUUUUGAUGGAGACAAAGUGCAAGUAGGGGAGGGGCAGAGAGAGAGGGAGACACAGAAUUUGAAGCAGGCUCUGGGCUGAGCUGUCAGCCCAGAGCCAGCCCAGAGCCUGAUGCAGGGCUCGAACCCACCAACCACAAGAUCGUGACCUGAGCCAAAGUCCGACACUUAACAGACUGAGCCACCUAGGCGCCCCUUGGGUUUAUUUUUGCGUACGGUAUAAGAAAGUGGUCUAGGUUCAUGCUUCUGCAUGUUGCUGUCCAGUUUUUCGAACACCAUUUGCUGAAGAGACCAUCUUUUUUCCAUUGGUGAUUCUUUCCUGCUUUGUGGAAGAUCAGUUGGCCAUACGUUUGUGGGUCCAUUUCUGAGUUCUCCAUUCUGUUCCAUUGAUCUUUGUGUCUGUUUUUGUGCUAGUACCAUACUGUCUUGAUGAUUACAGCUUUGUAAUACAGCUUGAAGUCAGAAUUGUGAUGUGCCUUGGUUUUCUUUCUCAACAUUACUUUGGCUAUUCAGGGUCUCUUCUGAUUCCAUACAAAUUUUAGAAUUGUUUGUUCUAGCUCUGUGAAGAAUGUUGGUGUUAUUUUGAUAGGGAUCGCAUUGAAUAUAUAGAUUGCUUGCGUAGUUAUCGACAUUGUAACAAUAUUUGUUCUUCCAGUCCAUGAGCAUGGAAUGUUUUUCCAUUGUUUUGUGUCUUCUUCAGUUUCUUUCAUAAGCUUUCUAUAGUUUUGAGUGUACAAAUUUUUCACCUCUUUGGUUAGGUUUAUUCCUAUGUAUUUUAUGUUUUUUUGGUGCAGUUCAAGUACAUCUGAAUAUUAACCCAAACAAAACUUAAUAAAAAAAAAUUAAGUUUGCUAGAAGCACACAUAUUGAGUAUAGCUGAGGGAAAAAUAUAAAUAUAAUUCGGAUUCUACUUGAGAAGAAAAUCCUUAUUGGGACCUUAAAUGGAACUUUUGUUUUUAAUGCCAUCUUUAUUAUUUUUUUUUCUUGGUAGCUCUGACAAUUGUCUUUUUGACUGUGCUGGAAACUGGUUUACUUCUGUCACAGAUUGAGACCACUUACCAAAGCUGUGUUUAAUUGUGUUGUACAAAAUCUGAUUUAAUUAUAUGUUUAUUUUCAGUUGGAUGCCAGAUCAAGAUUCCGAGGAAGAAAAGGAUAUUGACGCCAAUAUGCUGAAACCAAAAUGAAAACAAUAAAGGAUUUUCUCUGAUCACUUAAAACAGAGAAGCCAAAAUAGGAGACAGACUUGCUGUAUCUGAUGGGUUAGACCAGUAUUUCCCUCCACAAACACUGGAGAAAAUGGAUGAGUUCUGUUUUUGAAUAUGUAUAAAGUAAAUGAUCCUUCCUCUAAGUUAUUUUUGAAAGAAAAAUAUAAUCGAACAGCUAUGAGCUGAGAGCAACAUAAUGUGUAUUGAGAAUUGUUCUAAACCACAAAAAGUGGAAAGAUUGUUAUUUUCCAACUUGACUCUUCGACCAGAUGACUCGGUACAUCCUUUGUGAAUAUUAUGAAGGCCACUGAUGGGACUGUUAAAAUUGAUAACAUUCAGUGUGGGGAGAAAAUGUCUAUUGGGAAAGCUUUGGAUAAAGAUUUCUUUUACUCAAUCUGUCCUAUUUAGUUCUAAAAAUGUAUUUGAUUCCUUGGAGGAGAAAUGCUUCAUUUGCACUGAUUCACUAGAGUAACAACCUCACAACUUUAAUAUUAAUAUCAUACAGUAGGCGUAGCUGGAUACAAACCUCUGAUUGUUGCCAGGGCUCUUGUCCUCCAUUUCGGGACUGUUUUUCUCGUUUCGGGCUUCAUUUUCAGGCUGGUCCUCUCUCACAUAAUGGGGAAGAGGCCUGGCAGCCAAAAGUGCACAUCCUUAAGUCCAUGAUCCAAAAGAAAGAGCUAACCUUUUCUAGGGUCCACUAAUCAAAUCCUACAAAAGGACUGUUGUCUUCCCUGGAUCACUUGCCCCUGAAUUAGACCAGUCCCUGUGGAGAAAGGGAUGAGGCCACGUGAUUUUGGCCUGGCCUGGGUCUUACACACGGUAAUGGGUCACCCCCAACAGAAGCACAUUGGAUGAGUGAUGGGCCUUAUCCCAAAAGAAAAGGAUUCAGAGAAAACUGAAACAAUAGAUGUUCAUAGAGAAAGCAUGAGCGAAAACCAGGAAAUGCUUGAAAAAGUUUAGAAUCACAGUAAUUCUGAUCACUUAAUACAAUCAAGAGCCAAAUAUAAAUCCAAGUUUCAACUCUCUUUUCAGUGGUGAAGAAUAAAUGAAGAAGCAUAGCUUCUUUAUGUGGCCAUGGUUCUUUGCAGUUCAAGCAAUCAAGGUGUUCUAUAGCUCAACUGGUUUUUUAAAGGUUCGCCUAAAGUGAGAAUUCCACACUGGUCCCCAUUGCAGAGUAUCACUGAGGUCUGCUGUUGUGUUUGUGUGGUACUGCUUUUCACUGGAAAAGGGAAAAAUAUUUUUUUUCCCUGUUUAAGUGCUCCAACUUUUAUUAAAAGAACUUUGAUAAGAAACUCCAGAAUUAUUUUAUAGAACCCUCUUUUUGUAGUAACAGCUUGAAAGCUUCAUUUAGAGAAAUUCACAUUCCAUAGAUUCAUGCUUAAAGCAUACAAUUUUGUUUUUUGGAGUAUAGUCACAAGUUUGUGCAACCAUCAUCGCCAUCUAAUUCCUGAACAUUCUCAAGGGAAACCCCAUACCCAUUAGCAGUUACUCCCCAUCCCUCCUUUCCCCCCAAUUCCCAGCAACCACUAAUAUACUUUCUAUGUCCAUAGAUUUGCAUAUUCUGGGCAUGUCAUAAAAAUGGAGUUACGUGUUGGGGCGCCUGGGUGGCGCAGUCGGUUAAGCAUCCGACUUCAGCAAGGUCACGAUCUCGCGGUC
RNAcentral lists this long non-coding RNA (9493 nucleotides) under Lynx pardinus (Iberian lynx). Lineage: Eukaryota; Metazoa; Chordata; Mammalia; Carnivora; Felidae. The record is from RNAcentral.